Molecule: ribosomal RNA, 253 nt
Filed under: uncultured bacterium
Lineage: Bacteria
Description: partial 16S ribosomal RNA
Rfam family: Bacterial small subunit ribosomal RNA
Source: RNAcentral
UACGAAGGGGGCGAGCGUUGUUCGGAUUUACUGGGCGUAAAGGGCGCGCAGGCGGCUCAUUUUGUCAGGCGUGAAAGCCCCGGGCUUAACCUGAGAACUGCGUUUGAUACGGAUGGGCUAGAGUUCGGGAGAGGAGAGUGGAAUUCCCAGUGUAGAGGUGAAAUUCGUAGAUAUUGGGAAGAACACCGGUGGCGAAGGCGGCUCACUGGCUCGUAACUGACGCUCAGGCGCGACAGCGUGGGGAUCAAACAGG